This 463-nucleotide ribosomal RNA is filed under the name uncultured bacterium. RNAcentral's name for it is "SSU rRNA". It matches the Rfam family "Bacterial small subunit ribosomal RNA", at positions 26 to 518 of the family's 1533-position model. The record is from RNAcentral.
AGAACGAACGCUGGCGGCAUGCCUAACACAUGCAAGUCGAACGCUCACCGGGCUUCGGUUCGGUGGGAGUGGCGCACGGGUGAGUAGCGCGUGGGAACCUGCCCUGUUGUGGGGGAUAACCGAGGGAAACUUCGGCUAAUACCGCAUGCGCCCGGGGAAACCCGGGGAAAGAUUUAUCGCAGCAGGAGGGGCCCGCGUCGGAUUAGGUAGUUGGUAGGGUAACGGCCUACCAAGCCUUUGAUCCGUAGCUGGUCUGAGAGGAUGAUCAGCCACACUGGGACUGAGACACGGCCCAGACUCCUACGGGAGGCAGCAGUGGGGAAUAUUGGACAAUGGGCGCAAGCCUGAUCCAGCAAUGCCGCGUGAGUGAUGAAGGCCUUAGGGGUUGUAAAGCUCUUUCGCCCGCGACGAUGAUGACGGUAGCGGGAGAAGAAGCCCCGGCUAACUUCGCGCCAGCAGCCGC